Molecule: non-coding RNA, 72 nt
Organism: Pelobates cultripes (western spadefoot toad)
Lineage: Eukaryota; Metazoa; Chordata; Amphibia; Anura; Pelobatidae
Source: the annotation of a GenBank genome assembly
UAUAAAUAAAAAAGCCUCAAUGUGCUUAAAAAUACCGGUAUUUUUAAGCACAUUGAGGCUUUUUUAUUUAUA